Molecule: ribosomal RNA, 482 nt
Filed under: Streptococcus sp. oral taxon C08
Lineage: Bacteria; Bacillati; Bacillota; Bacilli; Lactobacillales; Streptococcaceae
Description: bacterial SSU rRNA
Rfam family: Bacterial small subunit ribosomal RNA
Source: RNAcentral
GACGAACGCUGGCGGCGUGCCUAAUACAUGCAAGUAGAACGCUGAAGCUUGGUGCUUGCACCGAGCGGAUGAGUUGUGAACGGGUGAGUAACGCGUAGGUAACCUGCCUGGUAGCGGGGGAUAACUAUUGGAAACGAUAGCUAAUACCGCAUAAGAGUAGAUGUUGCAUGACAUUUGCUUAAAAGGUGCAAUUGCAUCACUACCAGAUGGACCUGCGUUGUAUUAGCUAGUUGGUGAGGUAACGGCUCACCAAGGCAACGAUACAUAGCCGACCUGAGAGGGUGAUCGGCCACACUGGGACUGAGACACGGCCCAGACUCCUACGGGAGGCAGCAGUAGGGAAUCUUCGGCAAUGGACGGAAGUCUGACCGAGCAACGCCGCGUGAGUGAAGAAGGUUUUCGGAUCGUAAAGCUCUGUUGUAAGAGAAGAACGAGUGUGAGAGUGGAAAGUUCACACUGUGACGUAUCUACCAGAAGACGCA